GAUAAGUAAUGUGAAUUGCAGAAUUCAGUGAAUCAUCGAAUCUUUGAACGCACCUUGCGCUCCUUGGUAUUCCGAGGAGCAUGCCCGUUUGAGUGUCGU
Molecule: ribosomal RNA, 99 nt
Filed under: Botryobasidium botryosum
Lineage: Eukaryota; Fungi; Basidiomycota; Agaricomycetes; Cantharellales; Botryobasidiaceae
Description: partial 5.8S ribosomal RNA
Rfam family: 5.8S ribosomal RNA
About the family: 5.8S ribosomal RNA (5.8S rRNA) is a component of the large subunit of the eukaryotic ribosome. It is transcribed by RNA polymerase I as part of the 45S precursor that also contains 18S and 28S rRNA. Functionally, it is thought that 5.8S rRNA may be involved in ribosome translocation.
Source: RNAcentral